Long non-coding RNA from Salvia splendens (bonfire salvia), 313 nucleotides. RefSeq lists it as uncharacterized. Lineage: Eukaryota; Viridiplantae; Streptophyta; Magnoliopsida; Lamiales; Lamiaceae. The record is from RefSeq and is a predicted model, not a curated record. The transcript is spliced from 3 exons.
UCUUCCACUAUAUCUGGAUAAGUUGUUUCCUAUUGUUGCUGUCAUUCCGUCGACUGUUGAUAAUCCCUCAAGCAGCUUGCUCUAGACAUGGUUGGUUGCGGGUGCUUAUUGUGUAUGGCUUGUGCACAUUUUGAUGAUCAUUUGCUACCCGAUUGCUUACCCUGUUGAAAAGCCUAUGAAAUUGAUCAAACGGAAGACAUGACAAUGCUGAGUUGGUUCAAAAAAGGAAAGAAUGAGGACAGAGAUUACUGCUGCCCCAUUUGCUUUGAUGACUUCCACAUUCUAUGUUGGACUAACUGUCGCCAUUGGUUUU